UUGCAUGGAGGAACUCUGAUGCAGCGAUGCCGCGUGAGUGAAGAAGGCCUUUGGGUUGUAAAGCUCUUUUGUAGGGGAAGAUAAUGACUGUACCCUAAGAAUAAGGUCCGGCUAACUUCGUGCCAGCAGCCGCGGUAAUACGAAGGGACCUAGCGUAGUUCGGAAUUACUGGGCGUAAAGCGCGCGUAGGCCGUUGAGUUAGUUAAUUGUGAAAUCCCAAAGCUUAACUUUGGAACUGCAAUUAAAACUGCUCGACUAGAGUUUGAUAGAGGAAAGCGGAAUACAUAGUGUAGAGGUGAAAUUCGUAGAUAUUAUGUAGAACACCAGUUGCGAAGGCGGCUUUCUGGGUCAACACUGACGCUGAGGCGCGAAAGUAUGGGUAGCAAAGAGGAUUAGAUACCCUCGUAGUCCAUACCAUAAACGAUGAUUGCUAGAUGUUGGAAAUUUAUUUUCAGUAUCGCAGCUAACGCAUUAAGCAAUCCGCCUGGGGAGUACGACCGCAAGGUUAAAACUCAAAUGAAUUGACGGGGACCCGCACAAGCGGUGGAGCAUGUGGUUUAAUUCGAAGAUACGCGCAGAAC
Molecule: ribosomal RNA, 581 nt
Filed under: uncultured bacterium
Lineage: Bacteria
Description: bacterial SSU rRNA
Rfam family: Bacterial small subunit ribosomal RNA
Source: RNAcentral